AAUACCACAGAAUAAUAAUAAGUACUACGUACAGAAGUUUUACUUCGCGAAGGUAUUUAAAAAAAUGUAUGCUCAAUGUCAUUAACAAUAUGGUGUAAUUUAGCUUGUCUCAAGAGUCGAGCAAGUUUGUCAGAAGUUUUGUUGACAAACGUCAGUGAUCGGUACUGCGCCGAAGCUAUUGGCUCCGUGCACGAUUACAGCGCCAACUAGCGUCCACAACUUUGUGGGCUCUGUCACAUUGACAUUUAGGUCGUAUAUUUGUGAAAAAAUAUCGAAAUGAAAAAAUAACAAAUAUUUUCAACUAAUAAAUUGUUGUGAUACCACGAUUUGGGUGGAAAAAAGGUUUUGAAAUCAUUUUGGUCAUUCAAAUCAAAUGAGAUCGAAAUGAGUAUCGUUUUGAAGACCGGGUUUGUGAGAGUUACAAUAUCAAAUUCCAACCACAAACCGUAUUUAAAGGAAAGUUGUUGGUAUUGGCUGGACAAGUCCGAGAUGUAGAAGAAUUAAGAACAAAACAAGGGCAGAGUUCAAUAAUUCACGCUCUCAUCAUAAGGCAAACAUCUGUGCACAACAACUACUGUGACUCAUUUUUGUACUACCACGUUGUAUAGUUUAGUUAUUUCCAAAUUGUAAACGGCUAUUAAAACAGCCCUAUCGAAAUACAGUCCACUCUUUUAUUUAAGUUCCCAGUAGGACCCUUUUCAUGCGAUUAAUUAAUGAUAUUAAAAUGUAUUAUGUAGAAUCGCUUUGCCAUUGACAGAUACAUCUGAUGACAGAGCUAACAUUAUUUCUACUUUUGACCACCAUGAGCGCUGCGAUAGAUUAUGUCCCCCCCACCUAGUACUUCGCACCCAGCGAAUAGGGCUGACUUCGGUAAAAUGAUGUGACGUGAGGUGCCAAUCUGCAGAAAAUGGCGGAGGAAAUACAUGAUUUAGCAUGAAUUAUCAUGAAUAAUAUUAACUAAUUAUUUACCUCUCAGUGUCUUGAGGCAACUUAAAAAAGUACAUUCUGUGUUUUUAUUAUUAUUUAGGCAGUUAAAUACUGCACAGUAUUUAGUACACCAUUUUCUUUAUUUUUUUCCAUCAUACACAAGAAUACGCGUGCGUGAGUCAAUGUUCGCUCGUAUGUGAGGCCUUGUCGAAUAGUACUCUUGUAGGGGGCAAUCGUGCGUGUUUUGUUUUCGAUGUAAACUCGCGGAGAUGAACAGGCCUGGUAAUACUUA
Ostrinia nubilalis (European corn borer) is the source of this 1219-nucleotide long non-coding RNA. RefSeq lists it as uncharacterized. Lineage: Eukaryota; Metazoa; Arthropoda; Insecta; Lepidoptera; Crambidae. The record is from RefSeq and is a predicted model, not a curated record. The transcript has 2 exons.